AUUGAACGCUGGCGGCAUGCUUUACACAUGCAAGUCGAACGGUAACAGGGUGCUUGCACCGCUGACGAGUGGCGAACGGGUGAGUAAUGCGUCGGAACGUGCCGAGUAGUGGGGGAUAACGCAGCGAAAGUUGUGCUAAUACCGCAUACGUACUGAGGGAGAAAGUGGGGGACCUUCGGGCCUCACGCCAUUCGAGCGGCCGACGUCUGAUUAGCUAGUAGGUGAGGUAAAGGCUCACCUAGGCGACGAUCAGUAGCGGGUCGGAGAGGAUGAUCCGCCACACUGGGGCUGAGACACGGCCCAGACUCCUACGGGAGGCAGCAGUGGGGAAUUUUGGACAAUGGGCGAAAGCCUGAUCCAGCCAUGCCGCGUGUCUGAAGAAGGCCUUCGGGUUGUAAAGGACUUUUGUCGGGGAGGAAAUCCCUAGCGUUAAUACCGCUGGGGGAUGACAGUACCUGAAGAAUAAGCACCGGCUAACUACGUGCCAGCCGCCGCCGUAA
This 500-nucleotide ribosomal RNA is filed under the name uncultured bacterium. RNAcentral's name for it is "partial 16S ribosomal RNA". It matches the Rfam family "Bacterial small subunit ribosomal RNA", at positions 30 to 523 of the family's 1533-position model. The record is from RNAcentral.